Molecule: ribosomal RNA, 497 nt
Filed under: uncultured bacterium
Lineage: Bacteria
Description: partial 16S ribosomal RNA
Rfam family: Bacterial small subunit ribosomal RNA
Source: RNAcentral
GAUGAACGCUGGCGGCGUGCCUAAUACAUGCAAGUCGAGCGAACGGACGAGAAGCUUGCUUCUCUGAUGUUAGCGGCGGACGGGUGAGUAACACGUGGAUAACCUACCUAUAAGACUGGGAUAACUUCGGGAAACCGUAGCUAAUACCGGAUAAUAUUUUGAACCGCAUGGUUCAAAAGUGAAAGACGGUCUUGCUGUCACUUAUAGAUGGAUCCGCGCUGCAUUAGCUAGUUGGUAAGGUAACGGCUUACCAAGGCAACGAUGCAUAGCCGACCUGAGAGGGUGAUCGGCCACACUGGAACUGAGACACGGUCCAGACUCCUACGGGAGGCAGCAGUAGGGAAUCUUCCGCAAUGGGCGAAAGCCUGACGGAGCAACGCCGCGUGAGUGAUGAAGGUCUUCGGAUCGUAAAACUCUGUUAUUAGGGAAGAACAUAUGUGUAAGUAACUGUGCACAUCUUGACGGUACCUAAUCUGAAAGCCACGGCUAACUACGUG